ACUUAAGUGAUGCUGAGGUGGUUUGCAGACAGAUAAACUGUGGAUCAGCACUGGAAAUUCCUCCAUCAGCUCACUUUGGUGCAGGAACUGGACAGAUUUGGCUUGACAAUGUGACCUGUUCAGGAAAUGAAAGUUCUCUAACUGAGUGUCAACACAAUGGAUUUGGAUCAAACAGAUGUGAGCAUAGUCAGAAUGCUGCUGUCAUCUGUUCAGAUCUGAUCAGAUUAGCUGGGUCUGGAUCUUCUCGAUGCGCUGGCAGAGUUGAAAUCUUUCACAAUAACAUCUGGGGAACAGUCUCUGAUUGGUACUGGAACUUGAAUGAUGCUGAGGUGGUUUGCAGACAGUUAAACUGUGGGUCGGCACUAGAAGCUACUCAAUCAUCUAAAUUUGGUGCAGGAACUGGACAGGUCUGGCUCACUGAUGUGACCUGUUCAGGAAAUGAAAGUUCUCUUACUGAAUGUCAACACACUGGAUGGGGAAACUACUAUUACUACAACUAUUACAACUACUACUACUACUACAACUACUAUGGACAUUCUUAUGAUGUUGGUGUCAUCUGUUCAGGUGAGAUCAGAUUGGCUGGAUCUGGAUCAACUCGAUGUUCU
Molecule: long non-coding RNA, 605 nt
Organism: Oreochromis aureus
Lineage: Eukaryota; Metazoa; Chordata; Actinopteri; Cichliformes; Cichlidae
Exons: 3
Source: RefSeq, a predicted model, not a curated record